CUCCCCCCCCCAAAACUCGUUGUAUUGACCAGGAUCAAAUUUUUUUGUUGGCAAUGGACAUGUGUUUAGCCCAGUGAUCUCACCAAACUCGAGCAAGCUAAACCCGAUAGCCUCAUCAGCCACGAGACAUCAUAUCUCCUUCUUUAUAACUCGCAGCUGUCUACACAGUAGAUAGCGCACGGUCCUACCAGCCCACAUGCUUUCGCGUUCAGCUAGCCUAGCAACUACUCCAAUGGGAGAGUUCACCAGUUCUUCUUACACAUCAAGUCCUAUUGUUUCUCUAACGUGGAGGAAAUGCCCUGGAUGAAAAUUGUGAUUAAUAAAUUUACCAUCUAGGUUAGAAGACCCUUCAGGAUAAAAUCUUGGUGGGUAAUCCCCUGAUUUAACUUCAGCAGCAUCCAUCUGAUCAUAUAACCAAACAAUAAAAUCAGCCACAACAAAACAGUAACUCAACUGCAUCAUAAGAGUAACACAGUCAUAACAUAAUAUUAGAUUAUUCACGACACAAAUAUAACUCAGCCAUAACAUAACCAUAACUCAGCCGCAGCAAAACCCUAACUCAGACGCAACGAAACCCCCAACAAAACAAAAUCACAGCCGCAACACAACCCUAUCUCAGUCGCAACAAAAUAUAAAUCAGAUGAAAUAUAAUACAUAACUGACCCACAAACUCAACAAAACACAAUAUAUAACGUCGUGAUAUCCUACCGGAAAGACGAACUCGUAGAUAAGAAUGCGGCGAAGACGGCGGCGAAGACGAUUUCGUACAAACGAGUUCAGAAUUCUGAUUUCGGGUACGAUGAUAACAGAGAAAACAGAGUACAACGACAGAGAGCUAUUUCGACGAAGAGGAAGUUAACACAGACAAUGUCGAUGAUGAAGAGUGGGAGUAUCCUCGCGGUUCCUUCUUCGACGCUUCCUUCUUCGAGACGAGAAAACAAUGUUCUUAGUUAGUUUUUUUUUUAAACUUCGAUUUAGUUAACUCAAGAGAAGAGAUGGUUUAGUUUAUAUUGUGGUGGUGAUGUGUAAUUUUAAUUAGUGAUGCAUAUUAGUUGUUUAAAAAUAAUUUCAAUUUUUUAAAAAAAUAACCAAAGGCCCUUACAGUCAUUUAUAUAGGUGUCGAAACAUUCUAGUCAUUUAAAAAAAAUGUUCAAACACUCUAGUAAUAAACCAACUUUUCUUAUACAUUCUAGUCAUUUUCUCUUCUUUUUAUUCAACUCUCGCAUACCCGAUUUUAUUUCCAUAUUAUCUUGUACUGAUAACUAGUAGAGUUUUUCGUACUUGGAAUUUGUAUUAUCCAAUAACCAAACUUUCAUUAAUUGGCUUUGUGAUCCCGGUUUUUCGUUCUAUGAUCAAUUCAUCGUCAUUUAGCCUAAGCCAACAUCGUUUUACUUGACAAUGGACAUUUUAGUACUUUGAGAAAAUCGUUUUCUUUAUUCAUUUCUUAAACAAUGACAAAUGUUUCAACAUUUAGAAAAAUAAAGUUACAUUACAUCAAAAACCUCUUCCGACAUACUUUUAUAGUAACAAAAAUAUUCAAGAGUGAAUUGUUACACUAGUCUUCUUCAACAUCUCGCUGAACGAUGCCUCUGACGUUAAUGGCCCUCUGUUCCCCGCUGCUCGGUUUGAUUUCACAAAAUCGUAAAUUUAAUUGGGAAAAGAUACUUUAUACUCUCGGUAAGUAAUGUAUUUUCUCUUUUCUAUUGAAUUAUGAUUAUAUAUUGGGAUAAUUUGCUUAAAAACCAAGGAAGAUGGAGAAAUUAGAAAUUUGCCAAUAACAGUAAAAGUUUGAUGUGUAUGAAGACAAACGCUAGAGUGAAAGACGCAACUGCCCCUAAUACUUGACGAAUCGAUUUCCAGAACCUAGAUGAUGUACACCUAUAAGCUGACAGCGGGAUUUAUGUAGAUUUGGAAAGAUUAUAAAAAUAUUUUGUUUAGAUUUGAUAAACUUUUCUCGGUAAAAAAUAUAAUCGAAAUUACACCAAACCCACAUCUUCUUUCAUUGCCGACGUCUUUCUCUUCAUCUUCUUUCCUCUUUUUCCUAAGAAAUCUAAACAAAAUUGAAGAAGAACAUGAGUUCCAAAUAAUUCAUGAGUUCAUCUGGUUAUUUCUCCAUGCGUUCAUGAGGUGGUGGAUGCGGCGGAAGAAAACCACUCCUUUUGUCAAGAAGAUGAGAGGAGGACCUACUGGUUCUAGCAAAAGGCAAAAGCUUCAAGCUUUAGUUUAAUUUGUUCAAUGUUUUGAAGAAGAAGAGUCAAUGCGUCCAUUUUGGCGAGGGAAGUGGAAGAAAAACCAGACUGAAGAAUAGCAGCCUAAGGCCAAAAAACAUUGGAUUGGCCUUUCUAUUGUGAUACAAAUGUAUAUACUUAAGUUUAAGCAAGAAUGUCUGUUGGGUAUAGUCCUCGGUUACAGAAAAGCUUAGCAUGGUUAAGUUUAUUUUUGGUUUGAAAAUCUUUCUUGUAACCGAUGAGGGAUUAUGUUUACAGAACCGGUUAUAAGAAAUUUUAGCAUUGUUUGCUUUCUUGUUGGCGUGUUAAAAUUUCUUGUAACCAAUAAUAUAAUAAAAUAUCAUGUAAUGAAAUUGUCUUAUUGUCAAAUUGUUUUCUAUAACA
Long non-coding RNA from Brassica napus (rape), 2612 nucleotides. RefSeq lists it as uncharacterized. The transcript has 2 exons. The record is from RefSeq and is a predicted model, not a curated record. Lineage: Eukaryota; Viridiplantae; Streptophyta; Magnoliopsida; Brassicales; Brassicaceae.